This 222-nucleotide ribosomal RNA is filed under the name uncultured bacterium. Its description in RNAcentral is "partial 16S ribosomal RNA". It matches the Rfam family "Bacterial small subunit ribosomal RNA", at positions 524 to 744 of the family's 1533-position model. The record is from RNAcentral.
UACGGAGGGUGCAAGCGUUAAUCGGAAUUACUGGGCGUAAAGCGCACGCAGGUGGCUGAGUCAGUCGAUUGUGAAAGCCCUGGGCUUAACCUGGGAAUUGCAGUCGAUACUACUCAGCUAGAGUAUGGGAGAGGGCAGUGGAAUUCCCGGUGUAGCGGUGAAAUGCGUAGAUAUCGGGAGGAACAUCAGUGGCGAAGGCGGCUGCCUGGCCCCAAUACUGAC